GACGAACGCUGGCGGCGUGCUUAACACAUGCAAGUCGAACGGAAAGGCCCUGCUUUUGUGGGGUGCUCGAGUGGCGAACGGGUGAGUAACACGUGAGUAACCUGCCCUUGACUUUGGGAUAACUUCAGGAAACUGGGGCUAAUACCGGAUAGGAGCUCCUGCUGCAUGGUGGGGGUUGGAAAGUUUCGGCGGUUGGGGAUGGACUCGCGGCUUAUCAGCUUGUUGGUGGGGUAGUGGCUUACCAAGGCUUUGACGGGUAGCCGGCCUGAGAGGGUGACCGGCCACAUUGGGACUGAGAUACGGCCCAGACUCCUACGGGAGGCAGCAGUGGGGAAUAUUGCACAAUGGGCGGAAGCCUGAUGCAGCAACGCCGCGUGCGGGAUGACGGCCUUCGGGUUGUAAACCGCUUUCGCCUGUGACGAAGCGUGAGUGACGGUAAUGGGUAAAGAAGCACCGGCUAACUACGUGCCAGCAGCCGCGGUGAUACGUAGGGUGCGAGCGUUGUCCGGAUUUAUUGGGCGUAAAGGGCUCGUAGGUGGUUGAUCGCGUCGGAAGUGUAAUCUUGGGGCUUAACCCUGAGCGUGCUUUCGAUACGGGUUGACUUGAGGAAGGUAGGGGAGAAUGGAAUUCCUGGUGGAGCGGUGGAAUGCGCAGAUAUCAGGAGGAACACCAGUGGCGAAGGCGGUUCUCUGGGCCUUUCCUGACGCUGAGGAGCGAAAGCGUGGGGAGCGAACAGGCUUAGAUACCCUGGUAGUCCACGCUGUAAACGGUGGGUACUAGGUGUGGGGUCCAUUCCACGGGUUCCGUGCCGUAGCUAACGCUUUGAGUACCCCGCCUGGGGAGUACGGCCGCAAGGCUAAAACUCAAAGGAAUUGACGGGGCCCCCCACAAGCGGCGGAGCAUGCGGAUUAAUUCGAUGCAACGCGUAGAACCUUACCUGGGUUUGACAUGGAUCGGGAGUGCUCAGAGAUGGGUGUGCCUCUUUUGGGGUCGGUUCACAGGUGGUGCAUGGCUGUCGUCAGCUCGUGUCGUGAGAUGUUGGGUUAAGUCCCGCAACGAGCGCAACCCUUGUUCACUGUUGCCAGCACGUUAUGGUGGGGACUCAGUGGAGACCGCCGGGGUCAACUCGGAGGAAGGUGGGGAUGACGUCAAGUCAUCAUGCCCCUUAUGUCCAGGGCUUCACGCAUGCUACAAUGGCUGGUACAGAGAGUGGCGAGCCUGUGAGGGUGAGCGAAUCUCGGAAAGCCGGUCUCAGUUCGGAUUGGGGUCUGCAACUCGACCUCAUGAAGUCGGAGUCGCUAGUAAUCGCAGAUCAGCAACGCUGCGGUGAAUACGUUCCCGGGGCU
This 1346-nucleotide ribosomal RNA is filed under the name uncultured bacterium. RNAcentral describes it as "partial 16S ribosomal RNA". It matches the Rfam family "Bacterial small subunit ribosomal RNA", at positions 28 to 1381 of the family's 1533-position model. The record is from RNAcentral.